AGUGAACGCUGGCGGUAGGCCUAACACAUGCAAGUCGAACGGCAGCACAGUAAGAGCUUGCUCUUACGGGUGGCGAGUGGCGGACGGGUGAGGAAUACAUCGGAAUCUACUUUUUCGUGGGGGAUAACGUAGGGAAACUUACGCUAAUACCGCAUACGACCUACGGGUGAAAGCAGUGGAUCUUCGGACCUUGCGCGAUUGAAUGAGCCGAUGUCGGAUUAGCUAGUUGGCGGGGUAAAUGCCCACCAAGGCGACGAUCCGUAGCUGGUCUGAGAGGAUGAUCAGCCACACUGGAACUGAGACACGGUCCAGACUCAUACGGGAGGGAGCAGUGGGGAAUAUUGGACAAUGGGCGCAAGCCUGAUCCAGACAUACCGAGUGGUUGAAGAAGGCCUUCGGGUUGUAAAGCCCUUUUGUUGGGAAAGAAAAGCAGCAGGUUAAUGACCCGGUGUUCUGACGGUAACCAAAGAAUAAGCAACGGCUAACUUAGUG
RNAcentral lists this ribosomal RNA (492 nucleotides) under uncultured bacterium. RNAcentral's name for it is "partial 16S ribosomal RNA". It matches the Rfam family "Bacterial small subunit ribosomal RNA", at positions 29 to 507 of the family's 1533-position model. The record is from RNAcentral.